RNAcentral lists this ribosomal RNA (432 nucleotides) under uncultured bacterium. Its description in RNAcentral is "partial 16S ribosomal RNA". It matches the Rfam family "Bacterial small subunit ribosomal RNA", at positions 29 to 506 of the family's 1533-position model. The record is from RNAcentral.
AACGAACGCUGGCGGCAUGCCUAACACAUGCAAGUCGAACGAGACCUUCGGGUCUAGUGGCGCACGGGUGCGUAACGCGUGGGAACCUGCCCUUAGGUUCGGAAUAACUCCCCGAAAGGGGUGCUAAUACCGGAUAAUGUCUUCGGACCAAAGAUUUAUCGCCUUUGGAUGGGCCCGCGUUGGAUUAGCUAGUUGGUAGGGUAAAAGCCUACCAAGGCGACGAUCCAUAGCUGGUCUGAGAGGAUGAUCAGCCACACUGGGACUGAGACACGGCCCAGACUCCUACGGGAGGCAGCAGUGGGGAAUAUUGGACAAUGGGCGAAAGCCUGAUCCAGCAAUGCCGCGUGAGUGAUAAAGGCCUUAGGGUUGUAAAGCUCUUUUACCCGGGAUGAUAAUGACAGGACCGGGAGAAUAAGCUCCGGCUAACUCCGU